This 5759-nucleotide long non-coding RNA is filed under the name Homo sapiens (human). RNAcentral's name for it is "non-protein coding lnc-ANKRD27-2:15". Lineage: Eukaryota; Metazoa; Chordata; Mammalia; Primates; Hominidae. The record is from RNAcentral.
GAGUCCGGUCUGUUCCGGAGACUCUGAGCGCGGCCGCGGAGCUGCAGUGGCGGGGAGUGGGGUGCGGAUCUUGUGUUUGCGCACGCAGUCGCCGGCCACCUCAGGCCGGAGCUAGAGAUACGGCUCGGGAUAGGAGGGCCCGGCGGCUCUGAGGCAGGUUCGCCUCGAGCCGCACGGCCCGGAGCAGCGGCUCCGCGGUGGUCCCCGGGGCUUGAGAGGGGUGCGGGCCUGGGAGCCCCUGAGGGCCUGAUUUACGGAACUCCCCCUCCUUCCUCCUUUCUGCCGUUCCCUGCUCUGUGGCGGAUGCGCAGGGAUCAGUAGGGACGGCAGCAGUAGGGCCACUCGGGCCUGCCCCGCUUCCCGCAUUGCCCGGUUUGGCGCGCCGCCUCCGGGCCUUGGCAAAGCCCCAGCGCCCGAUUGUCACUGACCAGUGCUUGGAAGUCCUUUACCGACUGCCCGUCAGCGUCCCGCGGAGAGGAUUUUGCGUCUCCAAAGACGCCCCUCUUCCGAAAACAGGCUCCUCUGUGUUCUCAGUCGGGUAUAUUUUUCUGUCUCCAAACUAGAUUGGCAGCCGUUUUUUGAGAGCAGGGAUGGCCAUCUGGGACCUCCACCCGUGAAAAGGCGGCUCAUUGGUCUGACUCCAACACUAAAUUACGCCAUCCAGGAAGCCUUUCCUAGUCACCUCUGUUGGAGAUCGUCCUCCUUUGUGUGUCGGUUGUUAGUAAAGAGCACACGUUCUGUGGAAAGAUGUUGAGGUAUCUGCUGGAUGGCUUUGAUAGAAACAAAUGUCAGCUGUUUUUUCAGAUGGCAUUUGUCUUGUUUCAGCCUGGUUGUUGGUAGCUUUUCUGUCGCCUGGCUUGAGGGCAAGGACUGUAUGUUUAUUUUUCACGUUAAGAUGCCUUUAUGUGCAUGUGUCUGUUUCAUGAAUACAUAGGUGAAUUGAGUUCCCCUUAAAUAGGAUUUCCCUCUUAUUUUAUAGGUUUUUUUUUUUCUCUCAAGUUGUUUCACUCUGGGGGAAAUGUGACCAUUGUGAAAUAUCAUCGCUUAGUUAAAAAGAAAGUAGAAUUCAGCAGUAGCUGCUUUUUUUAAUACUAUGAAAAGACAUUCCUAAGCAAGAUGAAGCUUUGAGACUUUUCCUAAGUAGGACCUACUGCUGAGAGUAAGUCUUGGGGAGAAUAAGCCAAUUAAGAAUGAGUCUUUGGUUCUGAUAAAGUAACCAUGGAGGUGAUGGAUAAUGAGUGUAGGUCCUUGCUCACACUUCUGGCCAUAUGAGCCCGGAGCCAGGGAGGUACUAUAAAAGGAAUGGGCUCCUGUAAUGGACUGUGACUGCAGUGGUGGUAUAUAGCAAGACUUCCGGUUUGCAGUAGGUUUAGAAGCCUAAAUAGUCUCCCUGGUUGUCUCUGCCAGGGCCACAAAUAGUUGUGCUGUGCAUCUCAAAAGUGUGGUCUGGGGAUCUGCAGCGUCACUGUCACCAUCACUUGGGAGGUUGUUAAGAAAUGCAUGUUAUCAGGCCCUACCCCACGCCUACUCAAUUUAGAAUCUGUAGGGCUAGGGGACCACUAAUCUUUAAGAAGUUGAUAUGGUUAGGCUUUAUGUCCACACCCAAAUCUCAUCUUGAAUUGUAAUUCCCAUAAUCCCCACCUUUCAAGGGAGAGACCAGGUGGAGGUAAUUGAAUUAUGGAGGCAGCUUCCCCCAUGCUGUUCUCAUGAUAGUGAGUUCUCACAAGAUGUGAUGGUUUUAUAAGGGGAUCUUGCCUCUUCGCUCAGCACUUCUUCCUGCCUCCUUGUGAGGAAAGUGCCUUGCUUCCCCCUUUGCCUUCUGCCAUGUUUGUAAGUUUUCUGAGGCUUCCCCAGCCAUGCUGAACUGUGAGUCAAUUAAACUUCUUUCCUUUAUAAAUUACCCAGUCUUGGGCAUUCUUUGUAGCAGUAUCCUUUAUAGCAGUAUGUAUAGCUGUAUGGACUAGUACAGAAGUUUUCCAGAUAAUUCUGUGCUCGGAAAAGUUUGGGAACCACAGCAGAACCUUGUUACUCAACAUGUGGUCUGUGGGCUGUGCAGCAUGGGCAUCACCUGGGGUCUUCUGAGAAAAGCCAGGUCUCAGGUCCUACCCAAGACCUGUGUAGCCAAAAUCUGCAUUUUAAUAUGACCCCCAGGUCAUUUAUGUGUACAUCACACUUUGAGAAGCACUGCACCAGAAAUCUUUUAACACUGUUCAUUACAUCCAUCCCAUGGAAGUAUCUUGUCUUGGGAUCCCGAGGGUGUGAGUUCUUCCGUCUUACUGGCUUUUUCCUGUCUGAUACAUGAUGUCCAUUUUAAAAAUUUUAUUUAUUUUAACUUUUUGAGGUAGAGUCUAACUUUGUCACCCAGGCUGGUGUGCAGUGGGGUGAUUUCGGCUCACUGCAACCUCCGUCUCCCGGAUUGAAACGAUUCUCCUGUCUCAGCCUCCUGAGUAGCUGGCAUCACGUGCUGGCCACCACGCCCGGUUAAUUUUUGUAUGUUUAGUAGAGACAGAGCUUCACCAUGUUGGCCAGGCUGGUCUCAAACUUCUGAUCUCAAGUCAUCCACCUGCCUUGGCCUCCCAAAGUGCUGGGAUUACAGGUGUCCUCCACUGCGCCCAGCCCAGUGUUCAUUUUUCAAUUGUUUGACUUAGUAUAAACACUCUCCAUCAUUCCUGCCUUCUGUGACAACAGACUGUGCGUGUUUCCUCUGUCUACCUUUCAGGCAUUCCUUUUAAGUUUCAUGCAGCUACUCCUCCUCCCUCCUCCCUUCUCUUUCUCUUCUUUCUUCUUUUCUUCUUUCUUCCUCUUCCUUCUUCUUCCUCUUCCUCCUGUUCUUCCUCCUCCUCCUCUCUUCUUUCUUCUUCUCCUCCCUUCUCCCUUUUUGGAAAGAGGACUUACUGUGUCAUCCAGCCUAGAGUGCAGUGGCUGAAUCAUGGCUCAGUGCAGCCUUGCUCUCAAAGGCUCAAGCAAUCCUCCCAUCUCAUCUUCCAGAAUAGCUAGGUUACAGGCAUGCACCACCAUGCCUGACUAAUUUUUUAAAAAUUUUUUUGUAAAGAUUGGGGGUGGCAGGGGGUCUCUCUGUUGCCCAGGCUGGUCUCAAACUCCUGGGCUGCAGCGAUCCUCUUGCCUCAGCCUUCCAAAUUGUUGGGAUUACAGGCAUGAGCCACCAUGCCUGGCCUCCUCUUCCUCUUAAAAAUCAAUGAUUCUGUGGCCCGUGGAUCUGAUUUCCACUGAUACUCUGAUAACUCCUGUUUUUAUGUCCAGGUGUAUCUCCUGGUCUCCAGGUGCCAUAUGUCCACUGCCUAUUGGACAUUUCCAUGUGUGUAAACACCUCAAACUCAACAUGUUAAACCUUUUUCUAAUCCCCACACUUGCGGUUCCUUCUGUGUGCUCCAUUUACCUUAUUGCUCAAAUCAAGAGCCUAGAAGCCAUCCUUGAUUCCUCUCUAUUGUGUAAUCCACACAUCCAAUCAUCCAUUGAGUCCUGUUGGCAUUUAUCUCGUAAAUACCUCAGAUCUUGUUCACUUUGCUCAUCUCUGUUGCCACCACCGUAGUCCAUUUACCUGUAUGUAAUAACCAUAGUGAUCUUACUAAAAUAUAAAUCCCUUGGAGGCGUUUUGGCUUUAUUAUAAAAAUUAAGCUCCAUGACACAGCUUGUAAGGACUGCCACGAAUCAGGCUCUGUUUCCCUCUUCAACCUCUCCUUCACUUUCUAUUCACAUAAACCUCUGUCAGAGGUUUGUCACGUGGCUUAUAAAAAGUCUUAAACCCUCUUUAAUUGACUAGGUACUCUUCAGCCUUUAGACCUCAGCUUACACGAUCUGUGCUGCCUCAUGUUUAUCCUCAUACAGUAUCCGGUUCCACAGAAUCAUGGUUUUUCUUUGUGAACAACAGAAUACCGUGGAAGUGACAGUGUGGGACUUCUGAGGCUAAGUCAUAAAAGACAUCCCAGUUUCAGCCUUAGCCUCUCUUGGAUUGCUCACUUAGCGGGGAUGCCAGCCACCAUGUAGUGAGGACACUCAAACUGCCUGUAGAGAAGGCCACGUAGGCAACAGCCUGCACCACCUUGGCAGCCAUGGGAGUGAGCCAUCUUGGAAGUAUUAGGUUGGUGGGACAUUAAAAGUAAUGGCAAAAACCAAGAUUACUUUUGCACCAACCUAAUAGAUCGGCCAGCUACAGGUCAGCCUUCAGAUGGCGGCAUAAGAGAUCUUGGGCCAGAAGUGCCCAUCUAUGCCACUCCCAAGUAUUUGACACACAGAGACUAUGAGGAUAAUAAAUGUACAUUGUUUUUUUAAGCCACUAAGUUUUGGGGGUAAUUUUGUACAAUGAUAGAUAACCAAUACAAUAUCCACCGUAUGUAUGUGUUACGAUUUAUUUAUUCCCAUCUAGUUGGACAUCUAGGUUGUUUCUAGUUUUAUGCUAUUUCAGGGAAUGCUGUAAGAACAUACUUAUAUUUAUGUAACUCUUUAGGAUGUAUUUCUGGAAACAGGGUUGUUGGAAUUCAUAUUCUUUUUUUUUUUUUUGAGACAGAGUCUCACUCUGUCGCCCAAGCUAGAGUGCAGUGGCGCAAUCUUGUCUCACUGCAACCUCUGCCUCCCAGGUUCAAGCGAUUCUCCUGCCUCAGCCUCCUGAGAAGCUUGGAUUACAGGCACCCGCCAUCAUGCCGGGCUAAUUUUUGUCUUUUUAGUAGAGAUGGGAUUUCACCAUGUUGGCUAGGCUGGUCUUGAACUCCUGACCUCAAGUGAUCCACCCGCCUCGGCCUCCCAAAGUGCUGGGAUUACAGUUGUGAGCCACCAUGCCCAGCCCUAGAACUCAUAUUCUAAAUUGUGAUAAACAUUGGUAAACUACAUUCCAAAAAGGUUAAAGAUUCUAUUGUUUUUCUCUUCCACCAGUGGGUAUUAUGACACUUAUUUCUCCAUGCCAUUGCCAACAAUUAGUUUUUAAAUCUUUGCCAAUCUUAGGUGACAAAUAAUACAUGAUUAGUGUGCAUUCUUUAUUAAUGAGGUGAAGACAAUAUAUCAGGAGUUUAUUGGCUAUUUGCAUUUCUUUUGUAUAAUUUGUCUUUUUGUGUUCUUUCACCAUCUAUUUAAUCUUGCUGUGACGGGAUUAUUUAUAGAUUAUGAGUUUUUUUUGUUUUUGUUUUCGAGACAGGGUCUUGCUCUGUUGCCCAGACUGGAGUGCAGUGGCGCCAUCUCAGCUGACUGCAGAUUCAACCUUCUGAGCUCACGAAAUCCUCCCAUCUCAACCUCCUGAGUAGCUGGGACCACAGGCUGAGCACAGGGUUGCUCCAGGUGGGCCCAAAUGCUGAAGAGCCUCAUGUUAGAGUUUUUCACCUCUGCGAUGGAACUGUGGUGGACUCCAGUAUCAUCAUUCCAGGGAGGCAUAGCCGCACCAACUGUGUUCCCAGGUUUCACAUGGAGAAGGGUUUUAGAAAGUGCAGAUAGCCUUGAAACCAUUGGUUUCCUACCACUGUUUAUUUCAGCAUAACUUUUUUUGUGUGGAAUGCUAGCUCUGGAAGAGCAGAAAUAAAUACAGCUUAAGCUUUGAACCAUAUCCUGCUGUACUUUUUCUCAUAAGCUGGAAAUAGAAUUUUCUAACACCGUUUGUGGUUGGAAAUACUGAAUUUAAAUGGGACUGCAGAUAUAAACAAAAAGAACAAGAUGUGGAUUGAUGUGCCUAUUUCAGUAAAACACAGCCACAUUAUUUCUGAAAUAUGGAUACUAAAGAUGACAAGUAGAAAAAAAAUUGGAGAUGUGCACAGUUG